GGGUUAGUAGGUUGGUCAUGCCUCUGGUAUGCACUGGUCUCACUGAUUCCUCCUUCCUGAUGAGCCCUAAUGCCAUUUAUUUGGUGUUUUGGGGAAUUUGGACUGUUACUUUGAAAAAAUUAGAGUGUUUAAAGCAAGCUAACGCUUGAAUACAUUAGCAUGAAAUAAUGAAAUAGGACGUUCGAUCCUAUUUUGUUGGUUUCUAGGAUUGACGUA
This 216-nucleotide unclassified non-coding RNA is filed under the name uncultured Glomus. Its description in RNAcentral is "sequence contains 18S rRNA gene". The stretch from base 40 to 216 matches the Rfam family "Eukaryotic small subunit ribosomal RNA", at positions 686 to 864 of the family's 1831-position model. Lineage: Eukaryota; Fungi; Glomeromycota; Glomeromycetes; Glomerales; Glomeraceae. The record is from RNAcentral.